This 2197-nucleotide long non-coding RNA is filed under the name Nicotiana benthamiana. RNAcentral describes it as "long non-coding RNA (NBEN_LNC034994)". The record is from RNAcentral. Lineage: Eukaryota; Viridiplantae; Streptophyta; Magnoliopsida; Solanales; Solanaceae.
CCCCCCCAAAUCUGUCUCCUCUCACAACCCCAGCUAACCCUAGAGAUCGGUCCAUCUCCGCCGUCUACCGCCACGAACAGCCUGCCAGAAAUCGCCUCCGCCGGCGGCGAUCGUUCAAAGCCCCCCAUUUUUGCACCAUGUGACCUCCUCACCUCCCUUAUAACAAAUCCAACACCAGCUACCCUCGACUCCCACUGGAAUCGCUCAAAUCCUCAAAACCCUAGCCGCCGACAUGGACUCCUCCGUUGUAGCCGGUGGCGCCACCACCCAAACACUACCAAACCAACACCAUAGGUCCUCCUAGACCUCCUCAUCAUCAAUACCCACGUAGUUUCCCUCGAAUCCAUGUCGAACGUAUCAAAUAUUGAAUAAAAUAUUUUGGCAAAACCCUACCACAACCAACCAGCCCCAAACCAACACUUUAUAACCUUCUUAACCCUCUCAUCUCAAAUCCGUACUCAACCUCACCCAAACACCUCCACAACUGCUCAAAAUUCAAAUCUAGGGUUUUUCGAAAUUUUCCCAAACUAUGCAUGAAGAGUUCCACUCAAAGUUCAGGGUUCGAUUCGAAGGAUUAAGCUAAACUUUCAAGCUUACUCUUCUAAUUUCACUCUGCCUCAUCUUGUUUAUGUUAAUUUAUUUUUAUGAGUUUAUUUAGGUUUAAUUUGAAGUUGUAUCGGUCUUAUUUUGUUAAUAUCUGAGUUCAAAUUAGGUUUAAUUUGUAUUAGUUGAGUUUGUUUUAGCCUGUUGGUUCGAGUUUACAUGUUAAAUAGCUGAGCUUAAUUAGUUUUCUUUUCUGUUGAGUAGAUUUCUAUGUGUAAUUCCUGAGUUUAAAUUAGGUCCAAUAGUAUUAGUCUUGUCUAUUGUUCAAUUUAGGCUUUAGAUUGUUUAUGAUUAAUGCUUAGCUUAAUAUUGAUAAGUCUUGUGAUUGAAUCUAUUUGUGUGAGUAUUGCAUGUCUGAUUAAUUUUGCUUAGAAUUAUUUGAUUCAUUUUGAACCCAGUAGUUUGAUCAGAAUUAGAGGGUAAAUACAGGAUAAUUGGGGGGGUAAUUUUGGUAGAUCACUUAAGGAAUACUAAAGACUUUUAAGCAAAAAGCUGAAAUUAAAAAGGACUAAAAGCUAAAACUAAAAUCUGAAGCCUACCCUAAUUCAUUGCCCAUAAAGGCAUACCGUUCUUGCCUUGCAAGACAAGUUUUGAAGGUCGGAGCCUAAAGUUGGGAGAGCCAAAAAUUUUUAGUCUGCAAAUUUCCUGAGAGAUUAGAGAUCCUGAAAAAUCAAAAAAACAAAUAGUGAAAAUCUUGCAAAAAAUAUUGUUCUACAAAAGUCUCCUAAGGUUUUCAUCUUCAAAACAAUUCUUGAAUAUUCAGGAGUUGAAAUGAGUUGGAUGAUGUUGGUAGUCAAGUAUCUAGGCCAGUUUUUGGUUGGUGUUUGAUUGCUGGGGUUGUUUAACUUUGUUACUGGUUAAAAAUUGUUCCAAAAUUGAUUUCCUUCAUUCAUUUCUGGGUUGACACAUUGCUGCUGUUGAAUUCUGUUGUUUGAUUUACUAUUACUGUUACCUAAGCUCAUAAGCUUCCUUGUUAAAUGUUGUAAUCAGGUAUUUUCCUUAGCUCAUGCUUGAAGAUUGCUCUCUUAACAUGUAAAGGACCUAAAGUUCCUGUUGAAUGAAGAUGACAUUGGAAGCUGAAUUCAUUUUUUUUACUCUUUUCAUAUUCCUAUUGAGAUUUAGAAUUAUAAAUGUUGAUUAGGUUUCCUUGUUACUGUAUAUGUUUAGGAGACUGUUAUAGAGUACCUUUUAUGUGUAUUGAUGAACCGGACUGUUGAACUGUGUUAUUCGUUUAUUUUAGCUCUAAUAGUAUAGGUUAGUGUUCUUUGUUUUCUGCAAUCCCAGUUAGUCUCCAUAGCUAAUGACUGUUAUAUAUUUUCCCUUUUAAAUUGUUGAACCUAGUUUUUUAGCUAUCAUGUGUGUUAAAUCUUCAUCACUUAUGUAUUUCUUAGCUAGAUACAAAUCCAUGGUAAGCAUAAUAGUUCAGGACUAUUAGGACUUCAAAAAUGAAUUGUCUGAUUAGCUCCAUAUAGGGUCGAGUAUAGAAAUACAGCCUUUACUCAUGAGCAUGUUAACUGAUUUUAAUGUUGAUUGGUCACGUAAAAAAUCCUAGAAGGCUUAGCUUUGCUAUCACAUGCACAUAUAGGCUUAUUGG